GGAGUUGUGGCUCAGAGGUAGAGUGCUUGUCUAGCAUGCAUGAGGCACUAAGUUCGAUCCUCAGCACCA
Molecule: transfer RNA, 69 nt
Filed under: Ictidomys tridecemlineatus (thirteen-lined ground squirrel)
Lineage: Eukaryota; Metazoa; Chordata; Mammalia; Rodentia; Sciuridae
Description: Spermophilus tridecemlineatus (thirteen-lined ground squirrel) tRNA
Rfam family: tRNA
About the family: Transfer RNA (tRNA) molecules are approximately 80 nucleotides in length.
Source: Rfam by way of RNAcentral